GUGCUUGCUUCGGUUGCACAUAUACUAAAAUUAGAACAAUACUGAGGAGAUUAGCAUGGCCCCUGUGCAAGGAUGACAUACAAAUUCAUGAAACAUUCCAUAUUUUA
Small nuclear RNA from Tupaia belangeri (northern tree shrew), 107 nucleotides. Lineage: Eukaryota; Metazoa; Chordata; Mammalia; Scandentia; Tupaiidae. The record is from Ensembl.